Molecule: ribosomal RNA, 433 nt
Filed under: uncultured bacterium
Lineage: Bacteria
Description: partial 16S ribosomal RNA
Rfam family: Bacterial small subunit ribosomal RNA
Source: RNAcentral
AACGAACGCUGGCGGCAUGCCUAACACAUGCAAGUCGAACGAGACCUUCGGGUCUAGUGGCGCACGGGUGCGUAACGCGUGGGAACCUGCCCUUAGGUUCGGAAUAACUCCCCGAAAGGGGUGCUAAUACCGGAUAAUGUCUUCGGACCAAAGAUUUAUCGCCUUUGGAUGGGCCCGCGUUGGAUUAGCUAGUUGGUAGGGUAAAAGCCUACCAAGGCGACGAUCCAUAGCUGGUCUGAGAGGAUGAUCAGCCACACUGGGACUGAGACACGGCCCAGACUCCUACGGGAGGCAGCAGUGGGGAAUAUUGGACAAGGGGCGAAAGCCUGAUCCAGCAAUGCCGCGUGAGUGAUGAAGGCCUUAGAGUUGGAAAGCUCUUUUACCCGGGAUGAUAAUGACGGUACCGGGAGAAGAAGCACCGGCUAACUCCGUG